This 2968-nucleotide ribosomal RNA is filed under the name Brucella suis. RNAcentral describes it as "bacterial LSU rRNA". It matches the Rfam family "Bacterial large subunit ribosomal RNA". Lineage: Bacteria; Pseudomonadati; Pseudomonadota; Alphaproteobacteria; Hyphomicrobiales; Brucellaceae. The record is from RNAcentral.
GAGUGAUCAAGUGUCUUAAGGGCAUUUGGUGGAUGCCUUGGCAUGCACAGGCGAUGAAGGACGUGAUACGCUGCGAUAAGCGUCGGGGAGGUGCGAAUACCCUUUGAUCCGACGAUUUCCGAAUGGGGCAACCCACCUUAGAUGACUAGAAAAUCUGUUUUGUUGGAGCAACGCUGGAUGGGUUUACACCCAUACAGACCGCUAGGUCGUCGGCCCAUGUGGGCCGCCCCCGCGGAGCGCCAGCAUUCCUCUGGAAUGCGUACGGCGCGUGAGCGAGAACAGCACAGCUUUCUAGUCAUCAUAAAUAAGGUAUCUAACCUUGAAUACAUAGGGGUUAGAAGCGAACCUGGGGAACUGAAACAUCUAAGUACCCAGAGGAAAGGACAUCAAACGAGACUCCGCUAGUAGUGGCGAGCGAACGCGGACCAGGCCAGUGGCUUUUGUGAAUAAAGUGGAACGAGUUGGAAAACUCGACCGAAGUGGGUGAUAGUCCCGUACACGUAGAAUAGCAGAAGUCCUUGAGUAGGGCGGGACACGUGAAAUCCUGUCUGAACAUGGGUCGACCACGAUCCAAGCCUAAGUACUCGUGCAUGACCGAUAGCGAACCAGUACCGUGAGGGAAAGGUGAAAAGCACCCCGACGAGGGGAGUGAAACAGUACCUGAAACCGGAUGCCUACAAACAGUUGGAGCCCAAGGUUUGUCCUGGGUGACAGCGUACCUUUUGUAUAAUGGGUCAGCGACUUAGUGUAUCGAGCAAGCUUAAGCCGGUAGGUGUAGGCGCAGCGAAAGCGAGUCUGAACAGGGCGUUCAGUUCGAUGCAUUAGACCCGAAACCAAGUGAUCUAGCCAUGAGCAGGUUGAAGGUACGGUAACACGUACUGGAGGACCGAACCCAUAUCUGUUGCAAUAGAUCGGGAUGACUUGUGGCUAGGGGUGAAAGGCCAAUCAAACUUGGAGAUAGCUGGUUCUCCGCGAAAUCUAUUUAGGUAGAGCGUCGACCGAAUACCCCCGGGGGUAGAGCACUGGAUGGGCUAUGGGGACUCACCGUCUUACUGAUCCUAACCAAACUCCGAAUACCGGGGAGUACUAAUCGGCAGACACACGGCGGGUGCUAACGUCCGUCGUGGAGAGGGCAACAACCCUGACCACCAUCUAAGGUCCCUAAGUUAUGGCUAAGUGGGAAAGGAUGUGAGGAUCCCAAAACAACCAGGAUGUUGGCUUAGAAGCAGCCAUCAUUUAAAGAAAGCGUAACAGCUCACUGGUCUAAAUAAGGGUCUUUGCGCCGAAAAUGUACCGGGGCUCAAGCCAUACACCGAAGCUGUGGAUGCACGUAUGUGCGUGGUAGCGGAGCGUUCCGUAAGCCUGUGAAGGGACAGUCGUGAGACAUCCUGGAGGUAUCGGAAGUGAGAAUGCUGACAUGAGUAACGAUAAAGGGAGUGAGAGACUCCCUCGCCGAAAGUCCAAGGGUUCCUGCUUAAAGUUAAUCUGAGCAGGGUUAGCCGGCCCCUAAGGCGAGGCCGAAAGGCGUAGUCGAUGGGAACCACGUUAAUAUUCGUGGGCCUGCAGGUAGUGACGGAUCGCGUGUGUUGUGAGGUCUUAUUGGAUUGAUCUUGCAGCGAAGCGGUUCCAGGAAAUAGCUCCUGCAUAUAGACCGUACCCUAAACCGACACUGGUGGACUGGUAGAGAAUACCAAGGCGCUUGAGAGAACUGCGUUGAAGGAACUCGGCAAAAUGCACGCGUAACUUCGGAAGAAGCGUGACCUCACUAUGGGCAACCAUAGGGGGGUGGCACAGACCAGGGGGUAGCGACUGUUUACCAAAAACACAGGGCUCUGCGAAGUCGCAAGACGACGUAUAGGGUCUGACGCCUGCCCGGUGCUGGAAGGUUAAGAGGAGAGGUGCAAGCCUUGAAUUGAAGCCCCAGUAAACGGCGGCCGUAACUAUAACGGUCCUAAGGUAGCGAAAUUCCUUGUCGGGUAAGUUCCGACCUGCACGAAUGGCGUAACGACUUCCCCGCUGUCUCCAACGCAGACUCAGUGAAAUUGAAUUCCCCGUGAAGAUGCGGGGUUCCUGCGGUUAGACGGAAAGACCCCGUGCACCUUUACUAUAGCUUUACACUGGCAUUCGUGACGACAUGUGUAGGAUAGGUGGUAGACUUUGAAGCAGGGGCGCCAGCCUUUGUGGAGUCACCCUUGAAAUACCACCCUUGUUUUUAUGGAUGUCUAACUGCGGCCCGUUAUCCGGGUCCAGGACCGUGUAUGGUGGGUAGUUUGACUGGGGCGGUCGCCUCCUAAAGAGUAACGGAGGCGCGCGAUGGUAGGCUCAGAACGGUCGGAAAUCGUUCGUCGGAGGCGCGCGAUGGUAGGCUCAGAACGGUCGGAAAUCGUUCGUCGAGUGCAAUGGCAUAAGCCUGCCUGACUGCAAGACUGACAAGUCGAGCAGAGACGAAAGUCGGUCAUAGUGAUCCGGUGGUCCCGCGUGGAAGGGCCAUCGCUCAACGGAUAAAAGGUACGCCGGGGAUAACAGGCUGAUGACCCCCAAGAGUCCAUAUCGACGGGGUUGUUUGGCACCUCGAUGUCGACUCAUCGCAUCCUGGGGCUGGAGCAGGUCCCAAGGGUAUGGCUGUUCGCCAUUUAAAGCGGUACGUGAGUUGGGUUCAGAACGUCGUGAGACAGUUCGGUUCCUAUCUGCCGUGGGUGUAGGAAUAUUGACAGGAUCUGUCCCUAGUACGAGAGGACCGGGAUGGACGUAUCUCUGGUGGACCUGUUGUGGCGCCAGCCGCAUAGCAGGGUAGCUAUAUACGGACGGGAUAACCGCUGAAGGCAUCUAAGCGGGAAACCCACCUGAAAACGAGUAUUCCCUAUCAGAGCCGUGGAAGACCACCACGUUGAUAGGCCGGGUGUGGAAGUGCGGCAACGCAUGCAGCUUACCGGUACUAAUAGCUCGAUCGACUUGAUCACUCCCAUUU